This 253-nucleotide ribosomal RNA is filed under the name uncultured bacterium. RNAcentral's name for it is "partial 16S ribosomal RNA". It matches the Rfam family "Bacterial small subunit ribosomal RNA", at positions 524 to 776 of the family's 1533-position model. The record is from RNAcentral.
AACGUAGGACGCAAGCGUUAUCCGGAAUUACUGGGCGUAAAGCGCACGCAGGUGGCUAGGUCAGUCGAUUGUGAAAGCCCUGGGCUUAACCUGGGAAUUGCAGUCGAUACUACUUAGCUAGAGUAUGGGAGAGGGCAGUGGAAUUCCCGGUGUAGCGGUGAAAUGCGUAGAUAUCGGGAGGAACAUCAGUGGCGAAGGCGGCUGCCUGGCCCAAUACUGACACUCAGGUGCGACAGCGUGGGGAGCAAACAGG